Molecule: ribosomal RNA, 252 nt
Filed under: uncultured bacterium
Lineage: Bacteria
Description: partial 16S ribosomal RNA
Rfam family: Bacterial small subunit ribosomal RNA
Source: RNAcentral
ACGAACCGUCCAAACGUUAUUCGGAAUUAUUGGGCUUAAAGGGUGCGUAGGCGGUGCUGUAAGUCAGGUGUGAAAUCCCACGGCUCAACCGUGGAACUGCGCUUGAUACUGCAGUGCUCGAGGGAGACAGAGGUAAGCGGAACUGAUGGUGGAGCGGUGAAAUGCGUUGAUAUCAUCAGGAACACCAGUGGCGAAAGCGGCUUACUGGGUCUCUUCUGACGCUGAGGCACGAAAGCUAGGGUAGCGAACGGG